GCCAGAGGGCUCAGCCCGCACAGAACCCCGGGGAGGGUCCUCCCACCCCACUCGGAGGAGGUGAUCGCUAAGGGGAAAGAAGCCUAUCCCUGAGACGAAGAGCCCCAGUUUGCAGGGCUCCCACUUCUCCGUUAGGAAACCGAGGUGUCCGGAGUCCCGAGGCACCCUAGACAGCCGCUGCCCGACCUCGACCUUGAAUGUUGUAGCGGAACAGCCGAAACCAGGCUGAGGGCUUUUGGAAGGGACGAGCAGGCCACCGUCUUCCACUCGAUUUCCCAAGACUGAAAAUAAGGAUGUUGUUGGGGAGAGGGUGACGUUGGUCACGUGAUGUGGAGGGCUUUAUGACUGGAGCCAGGGUCACCUUUCACCCCGAUCUACAAGGAAUUCCCACACCCUCCCCCUUCUACGUUACUACCUGGCCCGCCCCCUCCCCCCCUCCGCCGGACUUCCCUAGAGACGACGCUCCCCGGGAGUUUUCUUGGCCCCGCCCACAAACCCAACUCUGAGUCUGAUUGGACGGCAACAAAGGGAGGCUCCGCCUAUGGUUCCAGGACAAAGCAGACAGCCCCUCUCAGACUAGAAAGUUCAUCUGGUCCCCCCAGACUAGGCCCUCAGUGGUGGGGUUGCCGUGCUGGGGGCUGGGGUGAACUCGUAAGUCUGGGUGGAGGAGAAGGAUGGGAGCCUAGCUCGUGGGUGCUGGGAUGAAGAUUGCUGGAGACGGGCUCUUGGGUGUGGACCCCUGGAUGCCUGGGUCUUCCCCUGCCUCAGGUCCCAACAGCACCCCCGCCCUGGUGGCUUCCUGGCCCCACUGUUCCUGUCAGGCUUUGCCCCAGCUCCCAGCACUGGCUGCAGGACAGGAAAAGGCAAGAGGAAACCCAUGCCAGUGAGGCCCUGCCACGACGAAGGGACACGGUUCCUGGUCUCUCUUUCUAGGACAGGAGACCAGCCCAGACCUCUCCUCUGGGGAAACCAAAACCGAGGGUCAGACCUGAGGAAAUGAACCUGAUGUAGAGACAACCAGAUAAAUCUUUAUUUGCGCCUUGGCA
Long non-coding RNA from Panthera uncia (snow leopard), 1046 nucleotides. RefSeq lists it as uncharacterized. The transcript is spliced from 2 exons. NCBI's taxonomy places the organism in Eukaryota, Metazoa, Chordata, Mammalia, Carnivora, Felidae. The record is from RefSeq and is a predicted model, not a curated record.